Molecule: ribosomal RNA, 2904 nt
Filed under: Escherichia albertii
Lineage: Bacteria; Pseudomonadati; Pseudomonadota; Gammaproteobacteria; Enterobacterales; Enterobacteriaceae
Description: 23S ribosomal RNA
Rfam family: Bacterial large subunit ribosomal RNA
Source: RNAcentral
GGUUAAGCGACUAAGCGUACACGGUGGAUGCCCUGGCAGUCAGAGGCGAUGAAGGACGUGCUAAUCUGCGAAAAGCGUCGGUAAGGUGAUAUGAACCGUUAUAACCGGCGAUGUCCGAAUGGGGAAACCCAGUGUGUUUCGACACACUAUCAUUAACUGAAUCCAUAGGUUAAUGAGGCGAACCGGGGGAACUGAAACAUCUAAGUACCCCGAGGAAAAGAAAUCAACCGAGAUUCCCCCAGUAGCGGCGAGCGAACGGGGAGGAGCCCAGAGCCUGAAUCAGUGUGUGUGUUAGUGGAAGCGUCUGGAAAGGCGUGCGAUACAGGGUGACAGCCCCGUACACAAAAAUGCACAUGCUGUGAGCUCGAUGAGUAGGGCGGGACACGUGGUAUCCUGUCUGAAUAUGGGGGGACCAUCCUCCAAGGCUAAAAUACUCCUGACUGACCGAUAGUGAACCAGUACCGUGAGGGAAAGGCGAAAAGAACCCCGGCGAGGGGAGUGAAAAAGAACCUGAAACCGUGUACGUACAAGCAGUGGGAGCCUCUUUAUGGGGUGACUGCGUACCUUUUGUAUAAUGGGUCAGCGACUUAUAUUCUGUAGCAAGGUUAACCGAAUAGGGGAGCCGGAGGGAAACCGAGUCUUAACUGGGCGUUAAGUUGCAGGGUAUAGACCCGAAACCCGGUGAUCUAGCCAUGGGCAGGUUGAAGGUUGGGUAACACUAACUGGAGGACCGAACCGACUAAUGUUGAAAAAUUAGCGGAUGACUUGUGGCUGGGGGUGAAAGGCCAAUCAAACCGGGAGAUAGCUGGUUCUCCCCGAAAGCUAUUUAGGUAGCGCCUCGUGAAUUCAUCUCCGGGGGUAGAGCACUGUUUCGGCAAGGGGGUCAUCCCGACUUACCAACCCGAUGCAAACUGCGAAUACCGGAGAAUGUUAUCACGGGAGACACACGGCGGGUGCUAACGUCCGUCGUGAAGAGGGAAACAACCCAGACCGCCAGCUAAGGUCCCAAAGUCAUGGUUAAGUGGGAAACGAUGUGGGAAGGCCCAGACAGCCAGGAUGUUGGCUUAGAAGCAGCCAUCAUUUAAAGAAAGCGUAAUAGCUCACUGGUCGAGUCGGCCUGCGCGGAAGAUGUAACGGGGCUAAACCAUGCACCGAAGCUGCGGCAGCGACGCUGAUGCGUUGUUGGGUAGGGGAGCGUUCUGUAAGCCUGUGAAGGUGUGCUGUGAGGCAUGCUGGAGGUAUCAGAAGUGCGAAUGCUGACAUAAGUAACGAUAAAGCGGGUGAAAAGCCCGCUCGCCGGAAGACCAAGGGUUCCUGUCCAACGUUAAUCGGGGCAGGGUGAGUCGACCCCUAAGGCGAGGCCGAAAGGCGUAGUCGAUGGGAAACAGGUUAAUAUUCCUGUACUUGGUGUUACUGCGAAGGGGGGACGGAGAAGGCUAUGUUGGCCGGGCGACGGUUGUCCCGGUUUAAGCGUGUAGGCUGGUUUUCCAGGCAAAUCCGGAGAAUCAAGGCUGAGGCGUGAUGACGAGGCACUACGGUGCUGAAGCAACAAAUGCCCUGCUUCCAGGAAAAGCCUCUAAGCAUCAGGUAACAUCAAAUCGUACCCCAAACCGACACAGGUGGUCAGGUAGAGAAUACCAAGGCGCUUGAGAGAACUCGGGUGAAGGAACUAGGCAAAAUGGUGCCGUAACUUCGGGAGAAGGCACGCUGAUAUGUAGGUGAAGCGACUUGCUCGUGGAGCUGAAAUCAGUCGAAGAUACCAGCUGGCUGCAACUGUUUAUUAAAAACACAGCACUGUGCAAACACGAAAGUGGACGUAUACGGUGUGACGCCUGCCCGGUGCCGGAAGGUUAAUUGAUGGGGUCAGCGCAAGCGAAGCUCUUGAUCGAAGCCCCGGUAAACGGCGGCCGUAACUAUAACGGUCCUAAGGUAGCGAAAUUCCUUGUCGGGUAAGUUCCGACCUGCACGAAUGGCGUAAUGAUGGCCAGGCUGUCUCCACCCGAGACUCAGUGAAAUUGAACUCGCUGUGAAGAUGCAGUGUACCCGCGGCAAGACGGAAAGACCCCGUGAACCUUUACUAUAGCUUGACACUGAACACUGGUCCUUGAUGUGUAGGAUAGGUGGGAGGCUUUGAAGUGUGGACGCCAGUCUGCAUGGAGCCGUCCUUGAAAUACCACCCUUUAAUGGCUGGUGUUCUAACGUAGGCCCCUUAUCGGGGUUGCGGACAGUGUCUGGUGGGUAGUUUGACUGGGGCGGUCUCCUCCUAAAGAGUAACGGAGGAGCACGAAGGUUGGCUAAUCCUGGUCGGACAUCAGGAGGUUAGUGCAAUGGCAUAAGCCAGCUUGACUGCGAGCGUGACGGCGCGAGCAGGUGCGAAAGCAGGUCAUAGUGAUCCGGUGGUUCUGAAUGGAAGGGCCAUCGCUCAACGGAUAAAAGGUACUCCGGGGAUAACAGGCUGAUACCGCCCAAGAGUUCAUAUCGACGGCGGUGUUUGGCACCUCGAUGUCGGCUCAUCACAUCCUGGGGCUGAAGUAGGUCCCAAGGGUAUGGCUGUUCGCCAUUUAAAGUGGUACGCGAGCUGGGUUUAGAACGUCGUGAGACAGUUCGGUCCCUAUCUGCCGUGGGCGCUGGAGAACUGAGGGGGGCUGCUCCUAGUACGAGAGGACCGGAGUGGACGCAUCACUGGUGUUCGGGUUGUCAUGCCAAUGGCACUGCCCGGUAGCUAAAUGCGGAAGAGAUAAGUGCUGAAAGCAUCUAAGCACGAAACUUGCCCCGAGAUGAGUUCUCCCUGACCCUUUAAGGGUCCUGAAGGAACGUUGAAGACGACGACGUUGAUAGGCCGGGUGUGUAAGCGCAGCGAUGCGUUGAGCUAACCGGUACUAAUGAACCGUGAGGCUUAACCUU